RNAcentral lists this ribosomal RNA (497 nucleotides) under uncultured bacterium. Its description in RNAcentral is "partial 16S ribosomal RNA". It matches the Rfam family "Bacterial small subunit ribosomal RNA", at positions 28 to 507 of the family's 1533-position model. The record is from RNAcentral.
GACGAACGCUGGCGGCGUGCCUAAUACAUGCAAGUUGAGCGAUGAAGAUUGGUGCUUGCACCAAUUUGAAGAGCAGCGAACGGGUGAGUAACGCGUGGGGAAUCUGCCUUUGAGCGGGGGACAACAUUUGGAAACGAAUGCUAAUACCGCAUAACAACUUUAAACAUAAGUUUUAAGUUUGAAAGAUGCAAUUGCAUCACUCAAAGAUGAUCCCGCGUUGUAUUAGCUAGUUGGUGAGGUAAAGGCUCACCAAGGCGAUGAUACAUAGCCGACCUGAGAGGGUGAUCGGCCACAUUGGGAGUGAGACACGGCCCAGACUCAUACAGGAGGCAGCAGUAGGGAAUCUUCAGCAAGGGGCGAAAGUCUGACCGAGCAACGCCGCAGGAGUGAAGAAGGUUUUCGGGUCGUAAAACUCGGUUGGUAGGGAAGAACGUUGGUGAGAGUGGAAAGCUCAUCAAGUGACGGUAACUACCCAGAAAGGGACGGCUAACUACGUG